AAGUAACGGCGAGUGAAGAGGAAAGAGCUCAAAGUUGGAACCUGUUUGGCUUAGCUAAACCGGAUUGUAAACUGUAGAAGUGUUUUCCAGACACGCCUGGUAAAAAAGUCCUUUGGAACAGGGCAUCAUAGAGGGUGAGAAUCCCGUCAUUGGCCAGAGCUGUUGUCUUUUGUGAUACAUUUUCAAAGAGUCAGGUUGUUUGGGAAUGCAGCCUAAAUUGGGUGGUAAAUCUCACCUAAAGCUAAAUAUUUGCGAGAGACCGAUAGCGAACAAGUACCGUGAGGGAAAGAUGAAAAGAACUUUGAAAAGAGAGUUAAACAGUAUGUGAAAUUGUUAAAAGGGAACCGUUUGGAGCCAGACUGGCUUGAUCGUAAUCACUCUAGGCUUUGGCCUGGAUGCACUUGCGGUCUAUGCCGGCCAACGACAGUUUUGUUUGAGGGAAAAAAUUACAUUGAAUGUGGCCCUUCGGGGUGUUAUAGCUUUGUAAAAAAUACCUUGGACGGGACUGAGGAACGCAGCGAAUGCCUUUAGGCGAGAUUGCUGGGUGCUUGCGCUGAUACAUGCUAGAAUUUCUGCUUCGGGUGGUGCUAGUGUGUAAAGGAGUAACCCGCUUAGUAUAUUUUUUAUUCGCUUAGGUUGUUGGCUUAAUGACUCUAAAUGACCCGUCUUGAAACACGGACCAAGGAGUCCACCAUUAGUGCAAGUAUUUGGGUGACAAACCCAUAUGCGCAAGGAAACUGAUUGAUACGAAGGCGCAAGCUGGCAGUAUCACCCGGCGUUGACGUUUUAUACUGAACUGACCGAGGUAAAGCACUAAUGAUGGGACCCGAAAGAUGGUGAACUAUGCCUGAAUAGGGUGAAGCCGGAGGAAACUCCGGUGGAGGCUCGUAGCGAUUCUGACGUGCAAAUCGAUCGUCAAAUUUGGGUAUAGGGGCGAA
This 938-nucleotide ribosomal RNA is filed under the name Mucor irregularis. RNAcentral describes it as "eukaryotic LSU rRNA". It matches the Rfam family "Eukaryotic large subunit ribosomal RNA", at positions 81 to 927 of the family's 3401-position model. The record is from RNAcentral. Lineage: Eukaryota; Fungi; Mucoromycota; Mucoromycetes; Mucorales; Mucoraceae.